Molecule: long non-coding RNA, 10003 nt
Filed under: Citrus x clementina
Lineage: Eukaryota; Viridiplantae; Streptophyta; Magnoliopsida; Sapindales; Rutaceae
Description: Citrus clementina (C. clementina) long non-coding RNA (CCLE_LNC006611)
Source: RNAcentral
AUUCUGAUAAAAAGCUUAAGGAACCUAUUUUCAAACCCUUCCAGGUUUCGAAAACUAGCCAAAAGCUUGUCCAUGAAUCAAAAUCGGAUUUUGCAAAAGCCAUCAGAGAACAACUAGAUAGGAUAGAAGCUGCUUCUUCCUCAUCUAGCAAAGUUCAGAUUGCCCUUGAUACUCCUCAAUCUAGCAAGAUUGGAGUAUUAGAAAAAGAUGACCAAACUUCUAUUGCCUCUUCUGACUUAGAAGCCUUUAUUGAUGAACCAAUUUCUAAAGCCAAUAAAAUCCAUUGGGAACUUGCUAUCCCUACUUCUAAAUCUCCACCUGAUUUAACUAUAGACAACAGGCCUAGUGCAUUAAAUCAAGCUCGUUAUAAUGCAUCCUCUGUCUAUGAGUGGAAUAUAGAUGGAAUGUCUGAAUACAACAUUCUAGGUGUAUUGCAGCAAAUGACCAUGGCAGCCAAUGCCUAUAAAACCCAAUCAGGAACUUCUGACAAAGCCAUUGCAGAAAUCCUAAUUGCCGGUUUUACUGGUCAACUCAAAGGAUGGUGGGAUCAUCUUCUCACUAAAUUGCAGCAAUUAGACAUCUUUAAUGCCAUCCAAACUGAUGAGAAUGGUGCUCCCAUUCUUGAUGAGUUUAAUAACCCUAUUCAGGAUGCAGUUGCUACCCUGAUUUUAACCAUUUCCCUUCACUUCAUAGGUGACCCUUCUCACCUUAGAGACAAAAACGCCGAGUUACUACACAACUUAAGAUGUAGGAAACUCAGUGAUUUCCAAGAUUACAAAACCACUUUCUUUACUAGACUCUUCCUUAGGGAUGAUGCAAAUCAUGUAACUUGGAAGGAAAAAUUCCUUGCAGGUUUACCUACCCUAUUGGGAGAAAAGGUUAGAAAUUCCAUCAAAGCUCUCUAUGACAAUCGUAUUCCUUAUGACGAGCUCACUUAUGGUGAACUAGUCAGUUUUGUCAAUAAAGAAGGUUUGAAGAUCUGUCAAGAUUUGAAAUUACAGAAACGUCUGAAGCAGGAGCUUAGGAGAUCUAAGCAAGAAUUAGGCGGUUUUUGUAAACAAUUCAAUUAUGACCCCUUUAAAGCUUCUACUUCCAAAGAUUGUAAUGGUAAGUGUUCUACAAAACCUUACAAGAAAUAUUACAAAUCUAAAAGCCAUAGGAAACCCUUUCACGAGUUUAGAAAACUUCCUUAUAAGAAACCCUCGAGGCCUUAUAAGAAACAUAGUUUCUCUAAAAAGAAAGAGUUUAAAGCCAAACCUAAAACCCCAUUCAACUUCAAAGAUGCCACUUGUUUCAAAUGUGGUAUGAAAGGUCAUACUGCAAAGUUUUGCAGAAUGAACAAGAGACUCCAAGAGCUUGACCUCAAUGAGGACAUCCUUUCCAAAAUAACCCCCCUCCUUAUAGAGUCCUCAGACUCUGAGUCUUCCAUGUCGGGAGAUAAUGACCCCCUCCAAGUUGAUGAGUUAUUUGAUUCAGACACCUCUGCAUCUAGCAGCAGCAAUUCUGAUUCGGAUUCCUAUUUAAAGAAAAUCAAUGUUUUGACUAAAGACCAAGAAAUUUUUCUUGAACUUGUAAAGCAUAUUUCAGAUCCAAAUCUUCAAAAAGAAUAUCUUGAUAAACUUUUGAAAACCAUGGAUUCUGACAAAGCCGGAACCUCAACUGAGAUUUCUAAGGUUCCAAUUAUUAAGAAGAAUUCUUAUGAUCUCACUCAAAUUUUGGAUAAAAAGAAAACAAAAAAGGCAGUUCCUAAUAUCCAAGAUCUUCAGAAAGAGAUAAAAGAAAUCAAAUGUGAAAUCAGAGAUUUAAAAGAAAAACAAAAAAGCGAUUCUGAGACUAUCCAACUUCUUUUACAAAAACAAUUGCAAGAUAAUUCAGACAAUGAAUCCAAUCCUGAUGAUGGUGAGGAUAUUAAAGUAGAAAACAUAGAGUCUGUGCCCAAUGAUUUUCUAUUUGUUUUAAAGCAAAUCACCACAAGAAAGUAUUUGAUUAAAGUCACUCUCAUCUUUUCUGAUGAUUUUGCUAUGGACGCCAUUGCCCUUUUUGACACUGGCGCUGAUUUAAAUUGCAUCAGGGAAGAUAUCGUCCCCAAAAGAUUUCAUGAAAAAACAAAAGAAAGACUUUCUGCCGCUAAUAAUUCAAAAUUGAAUGUUAGUUCCAAAGUUGAAGCCUCGAUUUAUAAUAAUAAAAUUGAAUUUAAAACUUCUUUUGUUCUUACAAAUGAUAUACACCAUGCUAUCAUUUUAGGAACCCCUUUUAUAAAUCUUAUAACCCCGUAUGCUGUCAAUUAUGAUGGUAUAUAUUUCAAAGCAAAAUCCAAAGACCUUGUUUUCUCGUUUAUUGAAAAACCCAAAACAAGGAAUUUAAAUAUUGUCAAAGCUUGUUCUGUUUACCAAAAUAAGAUUAAUGCCAUUCUUAAGUCCAAACAGGAUGAUUUAUUUUGCUUACAAAAAGAUUUAAAUUUCCAAAGAAUUGAGAAUCAACUUCAGAAUGAUUCUAUACAAAGAAAAAUUCUUGAUUUCAAAAGCCUCAUUGAAAAAGAAAUAUGUGCUGAUUUACCAUCUGCUUUUUGGAAAAGGAAACAACAUUUGGUAGAUCUGCCUUAUGAAAAUUCUUUUGAUGAAAAACAAAUACCCACCAAAGCACGUCCAAUCCAAAUGAACAUGGAAUUGGAACAACAUUGUAAAGAUGAGAUUAAUGAUCUUGAAAAUAAAGGACUUAUUGUAAAAUCAAGAUCACCUUGGUCUUGUGCCGCUUUUUAUGUCAACAAAAAUUCUGAAAUUGAAAGAGGCGUUCCUAGACUUGUGAUAAAUUAUAAGCCCUUAAAUAAAGCCUUAAAAUGGAUUAGGUACCCCAUACCUAAUAAAAAGGAUUUGCUCCAAAAAUUGUGUUCUGCUCUUAUUUUUUCAAAAUUUGACAUGAAAUCUGGUUUUUGGCAAAUUCAAAUUCAUCCAAAAGACCGUUAUAAAACUGCUUUUACUGUUCCAUUUGGACAGUACGAAUGGACUGUUAUGCCCUUUGGUUUAAAGAAUGCACCCUCGGAAUUUCAAAGAAUCAUGAAUGACAUUUAUAACCCCUACUCCGAGUUUUGUAUUGUUUAUAUUGAUGAUGUGUUGAUUUUUUCUCAAAAUAUUGAUCAACACUUCAAACAUUUAAAGACCUUUCAUCUUGUUACAAAAAAGGCUGGCCUGGCUCUUUCAAGUACAAAGAUUUCAUUAUUUCAAACAAAAGUCAGGUUCCUUGGUCACCAUAUUUCCAAAGGCACUAUUACCCCUAUUGAGAGAUCACUUUUGUUUGCGGAUAAAUUCCCAGACAAAAUUCUUGACAAAACCCAAUUACAAAGAUUUCUUGGCAGUUUAAAUUAUGUUCUUGAUUUCUGCCCUAAUAUCAAUAGGAUGUCUAAACCUUUGCAUGAUAGGUUAAAAAAGAAUCCUGUUGCAUGGACAGAAGAGCAUACCAAAGUGGUUAGAUUAAUAAAGCAAUCUGUAAAAAACAUUCCUUGUUUAUUUCUUGCAAAUCCUGCAUUACCUAAAAUUGUUGAAACCGAUGCAUCUGACAUAGGUUAUGGAGGAAUUUUGAAACAAAGGGAUAAUGAUAAAGAACAGAUAGUUCAAUAUGUUUCUGCUCAUUGGAAUGACUGCCAGAAAAACUAUUCUACUAUCAAAAAAGAAAUCCUUUCCAUUGUUUUAUGCAUUACAAAAUUUCAAAGUGAUUUAUUAAAUCAAAAAUUUUUACUUAGAAUUGACUGCAAAGCUGCAAAACAUGUUUUAGAAAAAGAUGUUCAAAACAUUGCAUCAAAACAGAUUUUUGCACGAUGGCAAGCUAUUUUAAGCGUUUUUGAUUUUGAUAUUGAGUUUAUUAAAGGUGAUAAAAAUUCUGUUCCUGAUUUUCUAACCAGAGAAUUUCUUCAAAACAGAUAAUGCCGCCAAAGAAGAAUAAAGGUAAAGCAGUUCUCAAAGACACUGGUUCCCAAGAACCUUCCAAAGAACCCCUUUCAACCCCUUCCAAAGAAAAAUUACUUUCUUCAGCCUUACCCAUUAAAUCUUGGAUUGAAAUGGUUGAAGAACAUGGAGCCCAAUACAAAUCGGUCUCUUCUGACGACCAAGUAAAGCAAUGGAUGAGUUCCAUUACAAAAUCUCCUGAGCUCAUGCUCGCCCUCCAAAACCUUUCUCAAAGCCAAAUUUCUCCUAAAAAAGAAAUUGAAAUUACAAAACCCUCUUCCCAAAAUGUUGUUGUCUCUGCUGAAAGCUCAUCUUCUCAAAUUGUGCUUUCUCAGCCAACACCUUCAAAGAAAACCUCCGAUUGGUUUGAUAAAACCCAUUUUCAAAACAUUCUUUCUCUAGAAGAUGGAUUUUACCAUUCUGAUCCUUUUCAAAGCAUUUCAAAGUUUUUUCCCAAAGGCUGGUUUUUCAAACCAUGGGAUUUGACAAAACCCCAGUCUUAUUAUCAAAGCAUUUUGGAAAUAACUGAAUCUGUUAAAUUCAAACAUUUCUUUCUUGACAAAGCCCAUCCAGAACCGGCUUAUUCAACGGCCACAAUCCUCAAAGUAUUGAGCCCAAAUCAGUGGGGUGACCUACUCCACAAUUGUAAAACCUUCCCUCUAAAUUUUGAAACCCGUUUACCACAUUGUCGGACUUUUUCCUACUGGGAUUACCAACAAGCAUGGUAUAACACCUUCUUUAUCCAAAACCCUAAAAAAUCCCACUCUUGGUUAUUUUUCUUCAACACAAAGAUAACCGUUCAAAGCCUUCCAAAUUGGUUUCAACAUUGGUGGAAUCAUUUUGGCCCAAUUCCACAAAUCUUAUCACCAAACGCUACAAAUUGCCUAAACCUCUUCAAAGCCCAUUAUUUACCCUCUGUCUCAGAAAAAAGAUUUCCCCCCUUUCUUUGCUUUUGUGCAAAUUUCUUUCUUCCUUGGGUUUGUUCAUGGAACCUACGUUUCCACAACCAAGAUUCCCAAGUCAUCCUUCAAAGAACCUUUAAAGUCAAAUGGUGGUCAAAAUUUGAUGAACAGUCCAAAUUGACUGUCAACAUGAUCAAAGAUUGGCUCUCCUCUAAAAACCUCCUACAACCAACCUUGGAAGCCUCUAAAGCCCAACAGACCUUCCUAACCCAAAAAUCCAAAGCCCAGUCUCUUUUGGCAAGCGCCAAAACGGAAGAUGAGUAUUUCAAAGCCAUGGAACAGCUCCUCGCCUCUCGAUCAAAGUCCUCAGCUGCAGAUUCCUCUGAAGAUGAAGAUGAAGAUGUUGAUGAUGAUGAAGAGCCUUUCAUUUCUCUCGGAGACGAUAAUGAAGAUGACUGUUUCGGCAUUUUCUCUCCAAUAAAGCAUUGUAAAUAAUUAUUUGAUUAUUUACUUAAAAAAAAAAAAAAAAAAAAAAAAAAAAAAAAAAAGAGAUGUAUUUUCGGGUGGUCCCCUGGACACAAGUGAGAGCGCACAUGUCUCUUCACCCGUAUUGUAUUUUUCUACAAAGAAUCUACUAUUCAAAGCUACGAUCCAAUUGUUACUGUGCACUUAAAAUCCCGCUACAGUGAACAGUGCAACUUUCCAGAGUUUACUGUGCACUUAAAAUCCCGCUACAGUGAACAGUUUAAAGAUUUUGUAUAUAAACCGAGAGGAAGACUUAGACUCCUCAGGUUUUUCAUUUUCUCUUCUUCUCUUCCUUCUCUCUAAACUCUCUCUCUCUCUCUAAAAGUCCGAAGAGUUCAAAGGAAUUUUCUGCUUACACAAUAGUUCUAUCACAGAGCUUUGGGUGAUCAGACUAGUUCUUUAUCUUCAAUCUUCCCGUCUUUCAAUCUUCCCUUCUGGAAAGAUUUGAAAAUUUGUAAAGCCAGAAAGCAAAGAUGUAUGUUUAAAUUCAGUCCUUUAAAUUUUUAAAGUUUAAUGUAAUUUAAAUUUUCGCAAUUUACUUUAAAGCAUUUACUUUUCUGCAAUUUAAUUUUAUGCACAUUUAAAUUCCAGCAAUUUAUUUUCAAAGCACUUUUCUUUUCAAAGCAUGCUUGCAGACUGAUCUGUAUCAGAUCUGCCAUAUAAAUUCUACAUUCCUCUGAGGCAAAGAGACCGGAUCUCGAUCCUCAGUUGUAAAUCUUCUCUUCUCCCUCCAUUCCUUCAGAGCACCAUUUCCGGGAACCGGAUCUGGUACUGUGUAUGUACCCAAGCCCUUAAAAGAACUUAAUCUAAAUCUGAUAAGAGCCCAAUAAAAAGAAUCAACCACGUUUAAAGCAACUUAACUUUAUUUGGUAAACUAAAACUGAUUUGGUAUAUCGGCUGGAAACCCGAACGUGCGGGCUAUUGAUCUGUUCUAAGUCAGAUCUGGGUCCAAAGGCUUCACUCUGUGUAGCAUCGAUCUGGUUUAACAACGCCACGUAUCAAUUAGUUAUUAAAAUUGACUAACCGCGUUCAAAUUUGUUUGAACAUUGUAUGAUCCAAAGAAUUGCAUAAUCAAAGCUGGUAAUUUAUUAUUUUAUAAAAUUUGGAAAAGCCGAUCCAUUAAUUGUUUAAUUUAAAGUUUUAAUACUGAGAUCCAACGAAAGCACAUCCAUCCUUCGAUCCUAUUCCCUUCUGGUAUCAGAGCCAAGGGGAGGAUAGUGUAAAGCAGUUUAUAAUUCUGUGUUUAAAGACUUGUGUUUUAUUUUGAAGUUUUGUUGUGUGGUGAAUCCUUACUGGUAGUAAGUCCCGCCAUAGGAUAAGGACAUCCGUUUAGGGCUGUAAAACCAUACCUGUAGCCAUUCUGACAAGACCAUAGAUAGACCAUAGGUUUCUAUUCAUGGAUCCUAUACACUGUAGAACAUCAUCCUUUUCUAGCUCUUCUUCCGGGAAGACUAGUGAUUCAAAGCAUGUUGUGAGUUCAGAGGAAUUCUUUAUUGAGAACUUUGAUAAAGCAAUUGAUUGUUGGGAACUUCCAAAAAUUUCUAAAGAAAAGAUUUACAAAACAAAAAAGCUUGAUUUUUUAAAGAGUGAUUAUAUUAUAAAGACUGAAGAACGUGACAUAACCCUUUCAAAUCCUUUUGAAACAAUUCAAUUGUUUUCUGAGCAUUCUUUAAAGAAGUUAAAAGAAAAGAAUUUCAAUUAUGUUCACAUCGGUCUUAUUCACGUCGGAAUAAAACCCUUAACCAAAGAAGGCUUGGACACUUCUAUCCUUGCUGUCCUAAGAGAUGGGCGAUUCAUCUCUUUUGAUGAUUCCUUGCUAAGUAGCAUCGAAUCCAGUCUGUGUAAAGGUCCAAUUUCAUUUGAUUGUUAUCCAAACAUAACAAUUUCACUUAAAGACAAAAAUAUUUUGAAAAGCAUGAUUUUACAAAUCAAAACCCACAAUUAUCAUAUGAUUGAGGGUUCCAUCCCAGUUGCCUUAAUUUUUAAAAUCUCGUAUAAGGCAAUGAUCACUGCAUUCAGUACACAACAUAAAUUCCAGUCAAAGAGAGAUGAGACUCUUCUCUUGCAGACUGAUUUGUCUAGAGCCAACACUGUAAUUCCAAAACCUAUUCAAUGGAAAGAUGUCCAUCUUCCAGAAGAAUGGAUUCUUGAAGGAGCCGCUCCACCAGCGAUUCCAAAACAACUUGAGCCUAAUACAGAGUUACAAAAUGUGACUCAAUAUUCCGAUGGCAAAGUCAAACUGUCUUUCAGAAGAUCUACCUCAUCCAGAUUUUCUGACAAAGCUUCGUGCUCAAGCAUUCCUUCAUUAGAAAGGAAAUUUACAAAAGUACCCUCUGUUAUAAAUCUUCCUUUUCAAAGUCAACCUAGGUUUUCAACUUCUGAUAUACCUAGCACUUCUAUACGAUCAGUCGAUUACACCACUAGUGUUCCACAUCCAAUCUACACUAGUAGUCAACAUAUUCAAAGUCAGGAAGAGAAGGAACCUUCUCCUCCAACAUCCCCUACAUUUUCUGCAGUCACAGAAAAUGUCAUUAAUGUCAUCGAAAAAGAUUUUGAAUUGGAUAAAACUCUUUUACAUAAUGAUUUUUAUUCUGAUUUAAACAAAGAAAAAAGACUUUGGUUUUUCGAACACUUUUUAAACCAAAGAAAAGAAAUCCAACAAUUUUAUUAUGAAUUUGUGAAUCUUCAUAAAGUUCAUAUAUUGUUUUUUGAUUGGUUCGAAAUAUAUUCUUCUGAUAACAACAUCUCUUACCCCUUCAAAGAGUCAAACCCUAUUACUAUUAGGAAAAAGACCACUGAAUGGAAACUCUCCGAAAGUAAUAGAACUGUCGAUUCUGAGCAUCCACCCCUCCGGAGUGUAACCGUUGACCACGGCGAACCUCCUAUAGAAAUUAGAGCUUCACCUUACAAAAUCCCCAAACCAAAUGAUACUGAUAGUAAUUUAAGUAGUAUUAUUCAACAGAAUAAUUUCUGUAAUACUAACUUAAAUACUAUAGGAAAACAGUUGACUAGAAUAGAAAACCAAUUUCAACAGUCAACCAUAUCUGUUUCUCCUAGUCAAAAGCCUAUCCCUUCAAAAUCAGAUUCUGAUAAAAAGCUUAAGGAACCUAUUUUCAAACCCUUCCAGGUUUCGAAAACUAACCAAAAGCUUGUCCAUGAAUCAAAAUCGGAUUUUGCAAAAGCCAUCAGAGAACAACUAGAUAGGAUAGAAGCUGCUUCUUCCUCAUCUAGUAAGGUUCAAAUAGCUCCUGAUACUCCUCAAUCUAGCAAGAUUGGAGUAUUAGAACAAGACCAGGUUUCUAUUGCCUCUUCUGACUUAGAAGCCUUUACCGAAGAACCUGUUUCUAAAGCCAAUAAAAUCCAUUGGGAACUUGCUAUCCCUACUUCCAAAUCUCCACCUGAUUUGACUAUAGACAACAGGCCUAGUGCAUUAAAUCAAGCUCGAUAUAAUGCAUCCUCUGUCUAUGAGUGGAAUAUAGAUGGAAUGUCUGAGUAUAACAUUUUAGGUGUAUUGCAGCAAAUGACCAUGGCAGCCAAUGCCUAUAAAACCCAAUCAGGAACUUCUGACAAAGCCAUUGCAGAAAUCCUAAUUGCCGGUUUUACUGGUCAACUCAAAGGAUGGUGGGAUCAUCUUCUCACUAAAUUGCAGCAAUUAGACAUUUUUAAUGCCAUCCAAACUGAUGAGAAUGGUGCUCCCAUUCUUGAUGAGUUUAAUAACCCUAUUCAGGAUGCAGUUGCUACCCUGAUUUUAACCAUUUCCCUUCACUUCAUAGGUGACCCUUCUCACCUUAGAGACAAAAACGCCGAGUUACUACACAACUUAAGAUGUAGGAAACUCAGUGAUUUCCAAGAUUACAAAACCACUUUCUUUACUAGACUCUUCCUUAGGGAUGAUGCAAAUCAUAUAACUUGGAAGGAAAAAUUCCUUGCAGGUUUACCUACCCUAUUGGGAGAAAAGGUUAGAAAUUCCAUCAAAGCUCUCUAUGACAAUCGUAUUCCUUAUGACGAGCUCACUUAUGGUGAACUAGUCAGUUUUGUCAAUAAAGAAGGUUUAAAGAUCUGUCAAGAUUUGAAAUUACAGAAACGUCUGAAGCAGGAGCUUAGGAGAUCUAAGCAAGAAUUAGGCGGUUUUUGUAAACAAUUCAAUUAUGACCCCUUUAAAGCUUCUACUUCCAAAGAUUGUAAUGGUAAGUGUUCUACAAAACCUUACAAGAAAUAUUACAAAUCUAAAAGCCAUAGGAAACCCUUUCACGAGUUUAGAAAACUUCCUUAUAAGAAACCCUCGAGGCCUUAUAAGAAACAUAGUUUCUCUAAAAAGAAAGAGUUUAAAGCCAAACCUAAAACCCCAUUCAACUUCAAAGAUGCCACUUGUUUCAAAUGUGGUAUGAAAGGUCAUACUGCAAAGUUUUGCAGAAUGAACAAGAGACUCCAAGAGCUUGACCUCAAUGAGGACAUCCUUUCCAAAAUAGCCCCCCUCCUUAUAGAGUCCUCAGACUCUGAGUCUUCCAUGUCGGGAGAUAAUGACCCCCUCCAAGUUGAUGAGUUAUUUGAUUCAGACACCUCUGCAUCUAGCAGCAGCAAUUCUGAUUCGGAUUCCUAUUUAAAGAAAAUCAAUGUUUUGACUAAAGACCAAGAAAU